UGGGGAUCCUACCACUUCAAAGGGAAAAGCUCAUUCAGAAGGAGGGGAAAACAGGCAGAAAUAAGAUUAACUUCACCCUAGGAAGGGAACUCACACCCUGCAGAGGAGGUGGGUGGAAACAAAGAUGAGGAGUGAGAGCUGGGAAGGUGUAGAAGGGAACUGGAGACCCUGAGGAGCAAAUCUGGUUCUUUUUUGUAAACAUAGAAAAAAAAGUAAAUCACAUACAGGGGAAAAAAAAAAAACAAACAUUGCAGCAGACAAAAGAGGUGUGAGAGGAAACAGAGGACUUUCAGCAGUGGUCUUGUGAAUGGAUCACAAAGUUGUUGUGAGUCCCUAUCUGCAGCACUCUCCCUGCAACAACACAAAUGGUUUCUGACCAUUUAAUUACCAGGAAAAUGUUGACAGGGUGAAGGAUUUUAUGUGAAAAGGAAAAAUUACUAGGAGAGGGUUGGAAAGGUAGGGGAAAAUGACCAGAAGUGAAGGCCUGGGGAAAAAGAGAGGGAGGCAAAUGCAAAAACCUAGAUCAGGCCACCAGAUCUGGGUCCACUCUGGAUAGGAACAUCCUCCUUAAACACAAUCAUUAUUUUCUUUACUGUGGAUGUACUGAAGGGGAUCUGGGGCAGCUGUGGGGCUUGGAAUCAGAGUAUGAAUGGCCUGGCUUGGGAGCCCAACAAUUGUGCUGCAUGGUCAUUCCAAGCUCCAUGGGGGGCAAGAAUCCUGGCAACAAUGGCACUGGGAGCAGUACAGGCUUCCUGUCUUUAGGACACAAGGUGUUUGUGCUCCAUGAACACACCUCAACAAAUUGUGUUGGCUUCAUUGCAGGAUCUGGACAUGAUGGACCUUGGGAGUCCCUUCCAACUCAGGAUAUUCUGAUUGCUGAACUGCUACUUACAGCUUUUCGCAACCUUCCUGCUUGUUCUUCUUCACUGCCCCUGUUUGAAAGUGUCUUGAAGAUGAAAUUAUGUCCUGAAGGAAUUCUGGUUGUAUCACUCUGGUUUGCUGCAUUGGACCAACUGUGAGCUCUCUGGAAGCCAGAAUGUCUCCUCAUGCUCCCUCACCAAAAGUCAGAGCCUCUGUCAGAGGAAGCCAUGAGCACAACACAUGAGCCAUGCAUACUUGCUUUGCCCACAGUAAAGCAAUGUCUGUAGCAAGCCAGCAGAGAAACAACCCAAGGUGAGACUUUACUGAGUCAGGAAUCCCACUUGGAGAAAUGCAGCCUGUAGCAGAACAUGACAUUUUUGUGUCUAUUGCCUAGAGAG
RNAcentral lists this long non-coding RNA (1259 nucleotides) under Meleagris gallopavo (turkey). Its description in RNAcentral is "lncRNA (ENSMGAG00000019214.1)". Lineage: Eukaryota; Metazoa; Chordata; Aves; Galliformes; Phasianidae. The record is from RNAcentral.